Molecule: long non-coding RNA, 441 nt
Filed under: Equus caballus (horse)
Lineage: Eukaryota; Metazoa; Chordata; Mammalia; Perissodactyla; Equidae
Description: lncRNA (ENSECAG00000052123.1)
Source: RNAcentral
GAAGAAUCCAGCCACAGGCCCACACUGAGUGUCAAAGCUGUCCCUUCCUCAUGCCAAAAUGUUAUGUUUGAACUAUUCCUGAUGGAAAGCUUUCUACCCUCAUAAACAGGGUAGGCCUAAUAUUGGAAUUUUUCUUAAUGAUUCAGAAACACCAAGAAGUAGACAGGAUGUAAGUUAAAGAUCUAGAAGCUGAGACAUCAUGAAUUGGUUUCAUCAUGUUCCUCAGCGAAACACAGGCCACUGUGUCCCAGCCCAUUGCUCUCCUUGAAAUGAAAGGAAAAGUCAUGACAUUUUAAGAGAGAGGAGAAAUCAGUUUCAGUUGCCUCAGCUAUGAACAGAGGAUAACAGCAUGGAUGCAUUCCCCAGGUGUGCUUUGAAGAAUAAGCCAAUGACUGAAAAGCAAUUUGAAAAUGUAAACUGAAAUGCUAUAUAUAAAUGUUA